CAACCGGGACGACCCGGCUGAGCGAGAAACACGAUGAGGACGGCCUCA
Molecule: non-coding RNA, 48 nt
Filed under: Brevibacterium linens
Lineage: Bacteria; Bacillati; Actinomycetota; Actinomycetes; Micrococcales; Brevibacteriaceae
Description: Guanidine-II sequence
Rfam family: Guanidine-II riboswitch aptamer (mini-ykkC)
About the family: Simpler in structure and has fewer highly conserved nucleotide positions than the ykkC-yxkD leader. Despite this each of its two stem-loop structures directly bind free guanidine. Therefore, mini-ykkC RNA motif represents a distinct class of guanidine-sensing RNAs.
Source: Rfam by way of RNAcentral